Molecule: ribosomal RNA, 446 nt
Filed under: uncultured bacterium
Lineage: Bacteria
Description: partial 16S ribosomal RNA
Rfam family: Bacterial small subunit ribosomal RNA
Source: RNAcentral
CCUACGGGGGGCAGCAGUCGAGAAUCAUUCACAAUGGGGGAAACCCUGAUGGUGCGACGCCGCGUGGGGGAAUGAAGGUCUUCGGAUUGUAAACCCCUGUCAUGUGGGAGCAAAUUAAAAAGAUAGUACCACAAGAGGAAGAGACGGCUAACUCUGUGCCAGCAGCCGCGGUAAUACAGCGGUCUCAAGCGUUGUUCGGAAUCACUGGGCGUAAAGCGUGCGUAGGCUGUUUCGUAAGUCGUGUGUGAAAGGCGCCGGCUCAACCCGAGGAGGGCACAUGAUACUGCGAGACUAGAGUAAUGGAGGGGGAACCGGAAUUCGCGGUGUAGCAGUGAAAUGCUUAGAUAUCGCGAGGAACACUCGUGGCGAAGGCGGGUUCCUGGACAUUAACUGACGCUGAGGCACGAAGGCCAGGGUAUCGAAAGGGAUUAGAUACCCGGGUAGUC